GCAUGAUGUUGGUGUCCUCUUCUGUGUUCACUAUUCUGUCAACUUGAAUUUCAGAAGAUGAUAACCACGAAAGUGAAUGAACUCUUUAGCUUAAAGACAACUAACUCAUGCCCAUAUAGACUUCUAAGGAGUAAAACAAAUGAAUAUCAGAGAGAACAUAAAACCCAUAUCGAUGAACUUCAAGUAAAAAGUAUUCUAUUUUUGGGGGGUGAUGGGAGAGUAUAAAACCACAAAAAUAUGCAAUUAAGGUAAUAAGUGAACAUAAACGUUUCCAGGCAUUUGUCACCCCUAAUAAUGAAUGGAACAAUGUAGGUGCUGAAUUCCUGUAUGUGAGUUGCUUUAAAAGAAGCUCAGGUUCAAAUUUGGUUGUCCUGAAAUAGGUUUUUCUUGUUUUAUUAUAUUCCAGUGUGACAUUUCAGAGUUGGGAAGAUCAAGAGCAAAUCUUUACUGGAUUGGUUCAAGUGCGAUAUGAUUCUACAGCUCAUUGAACUUACUGCUAUUUUUUCUAGUGCCACUGGAGUAAGUGAUAUUACUCAUCUGAGUAAAGGCUGUGUGAUGAAGCUUAACAAGAAGAAAGGUCUGGAAAGCUGUACCUUGCAUAGACCACUGAUGGUCUAUGAAUCUUCAGGAAGAGAGGAAGGGAUUAGCUCAUUGAUUGUAUACUGUUCCAGCAAAGCAGUUUACCCUCUGAGGCCCUCGCUGUCAGCUCCACGCUCAUACAUCCAUGCCCUGCUGUCGAGCCUGACAGCCGUCUAUUGUUCAUUCACUGCUUCCACCUCGCCACUUAAUAUUAUUGCGAUAAGGAAACUCUCGUGUCACGACCCACUGGCGUCUGGCUAA
This 840-nucleotide long non-coding RNA is filed under the name Phasianus colchicus (ring-necked pheasant). Its description in RNAcentral is "lncRNA (ENSPCLG00000004950.1)". The record is from RNAcentral. Lineage: Eukaryota; Metazoa; Chordata; Aves; Galliformes; Phasianidae.